AUGUCGGAUUGGGCCCACGCUAGCCCGCCGCGACUCCACAUACAUUCGUCAGAUCCAGCAUUGGUAGAUGAUGAUCUUGCAGAACAUAUGAUCGCAACAAGAGAGUUGAGUGCGAAACAAUGGUUGCUUACAAUGUUUGAUUCACUGCCACAUGCCACCCUCAUAAGAUUGGUAGUUACUUUGUGGGUCAUUUGGACUAUGAGAAGGAAAGAAAUACACGAAGAAAAUUACCAAACUCCUUUGGUGACACAUCAGUUCAUUGAUCGAUAUAUUGCUGAGUUGGAAAGCAUUAAACGUUCAUCGGGUGUGCUAGAUCAUGCACCACCAUGUGUCAAUUGGGCACGCUUAGGCAUGGAUUCCUCCUCCGAGUGGGGUGGCAAAGAUCAAUGUUGA
This 393-nucleotide ribosomal RNA is filed under the name Triticum aestivum (bread wheat). RNAcentral's name for it is "partial small subunit ribosomal RNA". Lineage: Eukaryota; Viridiplantae; Streptophyta; Magnoliopsida; Poales; Poaceae. The record is from RNAcentral.